AGAAAAGAUGAAGAAAGCCAAGAAAAGGGACCAGAAGAGAAAGCAGAAAGACAGGAGGAAGAAAGGGAGAGAGGGCCAGGCAGUCGCACUGUGAACAAAACAGGAGAAGGAGAAGCGGGGCAAAGUUCCCUGCCCACCGACGCCAGCCUGCUUGGAUGACUUGCCUCGUUUCAUAAUUCACUUACUGUCUGCACCAGCCAGCCUCCAGCCUGGCUGGACCCUGCUGCCUGUGUGGCCCGGAGCCAGAGGCCCCCACACUCCCAGCUGCUCUUCUACAGAUGCCAUCAACGAGCAGGACUCUGGGUGGCUCCACUGUCUAAGCCUGGAGAGUCACCGCCGAGGGAUGAGGACGCGCCAGCCCGGGGGGACGCGCCAGCUGCUUUCGCGGCCCCAAGCGCGCAGCGCCCAGCAGCCGCGCCGAGCCUGACACGCUGUCCUCUCCCCUCGCGCACAGGGCUCUGCGAGUGACCCGGCGGGCGAGCUCCGUGCUGCAUGGAACGGCUGCAGAAGCAACCACUUACCUCCCCCGGGAGCGUGAGCCCCUCCCGAGAUUCCAGUGUGCCUGGCUCUCCCUCCAGCAUCGUGGCCAAGAUGGACAAUCAGGUGCUGGGCUACAAGGACCUGGCUGCCAUCCCCAAGGACAAGGCCAUCCUGGACAUCGAGCGGCCCGACCUCAUGAUCUACGAGCCUCACUUCACUUAUUCCCUCCUGGAACACGUGGAGCUGCCUCGCAGCCGCGAGCGCUCGCUGUCACCCAAAUCCACAUCCCCCCCACCAUCCCCAGAGGUGUGGGCGGACAGCCGGUCGCCUGGAAUCAUCUCUCAGGCCUCGGCCCCCAGGACCACUGGAACCCCCCGGACCAGCCUGCCCCAUUUCCACCACCCUGAGACCUCCCGCCCAGAUUCCAACAUCUACAAGAAGCCUCCCAUCUAUAAGCAGAGAGAGUCCGUGGGAGGCAGCCCUCAGACCAAGCACCUCAUCGAGGAUCUCAUCAUCGAGUCAUCCAAAUUUCCUGCAGCCCAGCCCCCAGACCCCAACCAGCCAGCCAAAAUCGAAACCGACUACUGGCCAUGCCCCCCGUCUCUGGCUGUUGUGGAGACAGAAUGGAGGAAGCGGAAGGCGUCUCGGAGGGGAGCAGAGGAAGAGGAGGAGGAGGAAGAUGACGACUCUGGAGAGGAGAUGAAGGCUCUCAGGGAGCGUCAGAGAGAGGAACUCAGUAAGGUUACUUCCAACUUGGGAAAGAUGAUCUUGAAAGAAGAGAUGGAAAAGUCAUUGCCGAUCCGAAGGAAAACCCGCUCUCUGCCUGACCGGACACCCUUCCAUACCUCCUUGCACCAGGGAACGUCUAAAUCUUCCUCUCUCCCCGCCUAUGGCAGGACCACCCUGAGCCGGCUACAGUCCACAGAGUUCAGCCCAUCAGGGAGUGAGACUGGAAGCCCAGGCCUGCAGGUGAGUGCCUCCUGGAGGGGAACAGGUGGAGCAGCAGAAGCUGGGUCCUGGCACCUGAAAGUGUCAGGGGAAGGGGGGUGUGGGGCCACAGAGUUGCCUGGUGAAGAAGAAGAAGCCGGGGUAAGGCUGGGAAGGUCUCCCUGCCCCGCUCUGGCUCACUGCGGCUUUGGUCUCCCCAGAACGGAGAGGGCCAGAGGGGGAGGAUGGACCGGGGGAACUCCCUGCCCUGUGUGCUGGAGCAGAAGAUCUAUCCCUAUGAAAUGCUAGUGGUGACCAACAAGGGGCGAACCAAGCUGCCACCGGGGGUGGAUCGGAUGCGGCUUGAGAGGCAUCUGUCUGCCGAGGACUUCUCAAGGGUAUUUGCCAUGUCCCCUGAAGAGUUUGGCAAGCUGGCUCUGUGGAAGCGGAAUGAGCUCAAGAAGAAGGCCUCUCUCUUCUGAUGGCCCCCACCUGCUCCGGGACGGCCCCCUUACCCCUGCUGCUUCAGGGUUUUUCCCCGGCGGGUUGGGAGGGGCAGGAGGUGGGGUGGAAAUAGGGUGGGCUCCUUUCCUCAGGUAGAGUGGGGGGCCAAAACCUCUGCAGUCCCCGGCAGGGAGCUACGGACUUUCUUCCCCUCACGAGGCUGGGGGCCUCCUGCUCUCGUCCCUGGCCCUCCCUGCACAGGGCAAAGCCAGUCUGGGCUCUGGCACACAGAGUUCAUGUUUGCGCCCUCUCCCUGCCCCUCACCCCAGAGGGUGAGGAGGAAUGAGGGGCAUUGGUGGUUAGGCCGGUUGGCUGUCUUGAACAGCUGGAGGGAAGAUGCAGGGGUGGGAAGCGGCCAGGCAGAAAGAGCUCCAGGCUCUUGUGUCGCCCACCCAGCCCUCCCAUACUCACUCCUGACAGCUUUCCUGCACUGCAGCCUCCU
Molecule: RNA transcript, 2353 nt
Organism: Gorilla gorilla gorilla (western lowland gorilla)
Lineage: Eukaryota; Metazoa; Chordata; Mammalia; Primates; Hominidae
Gene: DMTN
Gene name: dematin actin binding protein
Exons: 15
Source: RefSeq, a predicted model, not a curated record